GCCUACGGGGCGCAGCAGUGAGGCAUAUUGGUCAAUGGGCGGGAGCCUGAACCAGCCAAGUCGCGUGAGGGAAGACGGUCCUAUGGAUUGUAAACCUCUUUAGGCGGGGAGCAAUGCCGGGCACGCGUGCCCGGAGGGAGAGUACCCGCAGAAUAAGCAUCGGCUAACUCCGUGCCAGCAGCCGCGGUAAUACGGAGGAUGCGAGCGUUAUCCGGAUUUAUUGGGUUUAAAGGGUGCGUAGGCGGAUUUUUAAGUCAGCGGUAAAAUGUCCGGGCUCAACGCGGGCCGGCCGUGGAGAAUGGGGG
RNAcentral lists this ribosomal RNA (305 nucleotides) under uncultured bacterium. RNAcentral's name for it is "bacterial SSU rRNA". It matches the Rfam family "Bacterial small subunit ribosomal RNA", at positions 337 to 639 of the family's 1533-position model. The record is from RNAcentral.